RNAcentral lists this ribosomal RNA (303 nucleotides) under uncultured bacterium. RNAcentral describes it as "partial 16S ribosomal RNA". It matches the Rfam family "Bacterial small subunit ribosomal RNA", at positions 507 to 807 of the family's 1533-position model. The record is from RNAcentral.
AGCAGUAGCCGCGGGAAUACAGAGGGUGCGAGCGUUAAUCGGAUUUACUGGGCGUAAAGCGUGCGUAGGCGGCUAAUUGAGUCGGAUGUGAAAUCCCCGAGCUUAACUUGGGAAUUGCAUUCGAUACUGGUUAGCUAGAGUGUGGGAGAGGAUGGUAGAAUUCCAGGUGUAGCGGUGAAAUGCGUAGAGAUAUGGAGGAAUACCGAUGGCGAAGGCAGCCAUCUGGCCUAACACUGACGCUGAGGUACGAAAGCAUGGGGAGCAAACAGGAUUAGAUACCCGUGUAGUCCCUGUCUCUUAUAC